CUAGUUCUGCGCCAUCCUUGUAUCUCAAGUCCACCAUGCUUUUGAUUCAUCAAAGAUAACAUGGACGCUUUCUUCUACACACUGGGUCCUCUUGUUAAAAAACCUGUAAGCCUUGCUUGUUGAUGAGUACACAACAGACACCUUUUCAUCACUCUUAGUAUCAAACUUUUCAAGAUCAUCUUUGCCAUUGUUUAGGAUAAAGCACUUGCAUCCAAUGGCCCUUAGGUAACCCAGUUUGGGUUUCUACUGUUCAACAGUUCAUAUGGAGUUUUGUUCAGCAUUGAUCUAAUCAAGCAUCUAUUUGUUACAUGGAAGGCAGUGUUUACUGCCUCAGCCUAAAAAUUCUUCUGGAAACCAAAUUCUAUCAACAUUGUACUUGCAAUAUCCAUCUGUUCUUUCUUUCCACAACUCUAUUUUGUUAGGGAUUUCUAGAUGCUGAUAAAUUGUGACUGAUUCCAUGCUCUGCACAAAACUGGUCCAUCUUAUAUCCGUUAGUAUUGUGUUGAGAAAUUCGGAUUGUUACACCAUUCACAACUUCAGGGGGUAUAUCCGUUCCAUUGGUCGCAAUUCCUCAGUUCCCUUUUAUAUCAUAUUUGAGCUAGGUUUAGGGGGUUUAUCAUUCUUCGCACCAAAUUUGUUUUGGCCAGCAACUGGAGCCUAAUGUUGUGGUAUGUCCACUUUAGAUGCUUCACAAUUGCCCUAGGCCUAGUUGAGUAUUUCUAGUUUGUCGUUCACUAAAGGAGCACUGUUCCAUUGGAUUUGAGUGAGCCCUCAAGAUUUGAGAAGUAAUUUGUCUUCCAUUUCUCUUUGGACUAUCCUCAUGUGAUGGUGCAUGAACUCUGAUACUACUAGUAGCUAUUAAUGUGUUCAAUAUCCACAUUGAGGCCUCGCACUAAUAGUGAUUCGGCCGCAUAAGAUCCAGGGGAAUAGUUUCCUAAUUUUUUUUUUUUGCAUAUUUAAGGCUUGAACACGAGAUCAUUGAUUAAGAGUGAAGGAAUCCUAUUCAUUCCACCAUUGGAUAUUUGCAUUUUUCAGCAUUAUGUAUCCAUGUGUGUUGUAUAAUUUUUGGAUUUGAUGAUAGCUUAGAUGAAGUACUGAUCUUUGCCAUUAAUAUAUCAAUCUUGAAUAAUAGUGUAUAAGAUUUUCGUUUACUGAACAUUUACACAGCUUCCAUUCUUUGUAGGACAAUUAAACUUGGGAGGAGUGAAACUUAACCAUCAGACUUAAUUAUCAGAGAACAGCAAGCAGUUAAUGAUGGACUAUACAAGUUAAUCUUCUGCAAAGGUCUG
RNAcentral lists this long non-coding RNA (1289 nucleotides) under Capsicum annuum. Its description in RNAcentral is "long non-coding RNA (CANN_LNC005462)". Lineage: Eukaryota; Viridiplantae; Streptophyta; Magnoliopsida; Solanales; Solanaceae. The record is from RNAcentral.